Molecule: small RNA, 75 nt
Filed under: Methylobacterium phyllosphaerae
Lineage: Bacteria; Pseudomonadati; Pseudomonadota; Alphaproteobacteria; Hyphomicrobiales; Methylobacteriaceae
Also listed under: 1 other name
Description: suhB
Rfam family: Makes More Granules Regulator RNA (mmgR)
About the family: SuhB later renamed mmgR (makes more granules regulator) was a putative non-coding RNA found multiple times in the Agrobacterium tumefaciens genome and related alpha-proteobacteria. Other non-coding RNAs uncovered in the same analysis include: speF, ybhL, metA, and serC.
Source: RNAcentral
CCGUGCAGCCCAUUUGUGGGCGUUUCCUCCCUGACUUGGGCCGCUCCUUCGGGAGUGGCCUUUUUCUCAUUACGU